GGAGGGUGCGAGCGUUGUUCGGAAUUACUGGGCGUAAAGAGCUUGUAGGCGGCUUGUUAAGUCUGAUGUGAAAGCCCUCGGCUCAACCGGGGAAGUGCAUUGGAUACUGGCGAGCUUGAGUAUGGGAGAGGAGAGCGGAAUUCCCGGUGUAGAGGUGAAAUUCGUAGAUAUCGGGAGGAACACCAGUGGCGAAGGCGGCUCUCUGGACCAAUACUGACGCUGAGAAGCGAAAGCGUGGGGAGCAAACAGGAUUAGAUACCCUGGUAGUCCACGCCGUAAACGAUGGGUACUAGGUGUUGGGGGUUUUACCCCCUCAGUGCCGGAGCUAACGUAUUAAGUACCCCGCCUGGGAAGUACGGCCGCAAGGCUA
Molecule: ribosomal RNA, 370 nt
Filed under: uncultured organism
Description: partial 16S ribosomal RNA
Rfam family: Bacterial small subunit ribosomal RNA
Source: RNAcentral